CUGAGCUGUAUUUACCAGCUGAUUUGGGUUUGGUUUCGGUCUUCGGAAUAUGAAAUUGUUCCUUGAUUUCCAAAUAAGCCAAAGGACAGUCACAAGUAGCUCAAAAGUGAAGGAUUGGACCAGACUUGUUUCGUCCAUGGACAGAGGAGAAAAAGAUGCUCAAUAGUUUCGGGAUGUUGGUGACAUAGCUCACACAUCGGUUCUGGUACAAUACUUCUUCUAAAUAGAUUUACCUUUGUUGGUAAUGCAUUUUGACAUAUCGCCCAUAGGAAAAAUCUGAUCUUCGGUUCUGUGUUUGCCUUCCAAAUUUUUGUCCACAAUGCUUCGGGGGUUUGAUAUGAAGAAGAAGCCUGAUUUGGGUUUGGUUUCAUUGCAAGGUCUCUGUUUCUAUUAUAGCCACUCUUGACUGUAUAGGAUCCUUAUUUGGUAUUUAACCAAACCAAUUUGUCAUCAGUGUCAUGUGACCUCAGUGGGAUUGCAAGAAUUUCAUCGACAAGCUGUUCAUCAAAAAGCUGAUGUAGCUUUGAUUCAUUCCACUUCGACUCCUCCUGCAAAAUUAACUCAGCUACCCUCUUAGGCUCCUCACGAUUAGGUGGACCCCCAAUAACUCCCCUAUGAAGCCAUUUGUCUUCUCUAAUGUUAAUUUGUUCCCCAUUGCCCACAGACCACAUAAUGGAAGGAUGGAUAGAUGCUCUCCCCAUCAGAACACUAAGCCACCCCCAUGAGGGACGAGUCCCUUUCCCUGCAUGCCAGAAAUCACAAUUAGGGAAAUACAGCCCUUUCAAUACUUGAGUCCAUAAUGAGGAAGGGUUUUGGGUAAUUCGCCAUGCUUGUUUUCCCAACAUAGA
Molecule: long non-coding RNA, 848 nt
Organism: Syzygium oleosum
Lineage: Eukaryota; Viridiplantae; Streptophyta; Magnoliopsida; Myrtales; Myrtaceae
Exons: 2
Source: RefSeq, a predicted model, not a curated record